Neomonachus schauinslandi (Hawaiian monk seal) is the source of this 73-nucleotide small nucleolar RNA. RefSeq annotates it as small nucleolar RNA SNORD56. NCBI's taxonomy places the organism in Eukaryota, Metazoa, Chordata, Mammalia, Carnivora, Phocidae. The transcript has a single exon. The record is from RefSeq and is a predicted model, not a curated record.
CUACAAUGAUGGCAAUAUUUUUUUUGUUAACAGCAGUUCCCCUAGUGAGUGUUGAUACUUUGGGUCUGAGUGA